CGAAAGCCUGACGGAGCAAUACCGCGGUGAGGAGAAGGCUCUUGGGUCGUAAACCUCUUUUCUCAGGGAAGAAGAAAGUGACGGUACCUGAGGAAUCAGCAUCGGCUAACUCCGUGCCAGCAGCCGCGGUAAUACGGAGGAUGCAAGCGUUAUCCGGAAUCAUUGGGCGUAAAGAGUCCGUAGGUGGCGCAUCAAGUCUGUCGUUAAAGAGCAGGGCUUAACCCUGGAGAGGCGGUGGAAACUGAUGAAGCUAGAGUACGGCAGGGGUAGAGGGAAUUCCCAGUGUAGCGGUGAAAUGCGUAGAGAUUGGGAAGAACACCGGUGGCGAAAGCGCUCUACUAGACCUGUACUGACACUGAGGGACGAAAGCUAGGGGAGCGAAUGGGAUUAGAUACCCCAGUAGUCCUAGCCGUAAACGAUGGAUACUAGGUGUUGUCUGUAUCGACCCGGACAGUGCCGGAGCUAACGCGUUAAGUAUCCCGCCUGGGGAGUACGCACGCAAGUGUGAAACUCAAAGGAAUUGACGGGGGCCCGCACAAGCGGUGGAGUAUGUGGUUUAAUUCGAUGCAACGCGAAGAACCUUACCAGGGCUUGACAUGUCGCGAAUCCCCUUGAAAGGGGGGAGUGCCUUCGGGAGCGCGAACACAGGUGGUGCAUGGCUGUCGUCAGCUCGUGUCGUGAGAUGUUGGGUUAAGUCCCGCAACGAGCGCAACCCUCGUCCUAAGUUGCCAGCAUUAAGUUGGGCACUCUGAGGAGACUGCCGGUGACAAACCGGAGGAAGGUGGGGAUGACGUCAAGUCAGCAUGCCCCUUACGCCCUGGGCUACACACGUACUACAAUGCUACGGACAAAGGGUUGCAAGCGCGCGAGUGCAAGCUAAUCCCAUAAACCGUGGCUCAGUUCAGAUCGAAGCUUGCAACUCAGCUUCGUGAAGGCGGAAUCGCUAGUAAUCGCAGGUCAGCAUACUGCGGUGAAUCCGUUCCCGGGCCUUGUACACACCGCCCGUCACACCAUGGGAGCUGGCCACGCCCGAAGUCGUUACUCCAACCUUUCGAGGAGGAGGAUGCCGAAGGCAGGGCUGGUGACUGGGGUGAAGUCGUAACAAGGUAGCCGUACCGGAAGGUGUGGCUGGAUCACCUCCUUUUAGGGAGACCAACGGAAAUCACUGCCGAACCCCAAAGAACAAGGCAGGAUAGAAGUCAUCCCAAGGUCGGGCGAGGAAAAGGUUAAUUUCGGGCUUUCAAACUAAACAGGUGGCGGGACAAGGGCUAUUAGCUCAGGUGGUUAGAGCGCACCCCUGAUAAGGGUGAGGUCCCUGGUUCGAGUCCAGGAUGGCCCACCUGAAUCAAUUCAAAAUUAAGAAUUCAAAAUUCAAAAUUAAGAAGUUUUUUUUGAAUUGGUCAUUUUGAAUUUUGAAUUGAUAGAUGGGGGUAUAGCUCAGUUGGUAGAGCGCUGCCUUUGCAAGGCAGAUGCCAGCGGUUCGAGUCCGCUUACCUCCACCAGAAAAAGAGUAGACCAAGGAAUAAAUAGCGAAUCAACCGAAUUCAGCAACGAUACUAGUUUACCAAAACAGUAGAGCCUGCUGGACAAUCGUGCCAGUCAGAACCUAGAAAACUGCAUAGUCACAAGAAAGUCAGGUAGCAGUUAGUAGCUUUAGCUAUUAACGAAGUAU
This 1672-nucleotide small RNA is filed under the name Geitlerinema splendidum CCALA 1004. RNAcentral describes it as "bacterial SSU rRNA". The stretch from base 1 to 1144 matches the Rfam family "Bacterial small subunit ribosomal RNA", at positions 376 to 1533 of the family's 1533-position model. Lineage: Bacteria; Bacillati; Cyanobacteriota; Cyanophyceae; Geitlerinematales; Geitlerinemataceae. The record is from RNAcentral.